AUUAACGAUUGAAACCAGAAACCAUGUAUUAAAGGCCACCUUAGGGUUCUUUGCUUUACCAAAUCAUCCAGUAAAUGUCGUCAAUCCUCUUAUUGACAACCUCAUCACUCUCUUGUCUGCGAUUCUUCUUACAAGGGGUAUAAAAAUUUCACAUCAGGAGAUGCUUCUCAAGUUUCGGACAGGCUGCCGAGGAAGUUGCACGCACAACAAGCAAUUUGACUGUAACUUGCGUGGGAACUU
Molecule: non-coding RNA, 240 nt
Organism: Prunus avium (sweet cherry)
Lineage: Eukaryota; Viridiplantae; Streptophyta; Magnoliopsida; Rosales; Rosaceae
Source: RefSeq, a predicted model, not a curated record